RNAcentral lists this long non-coding RNA (1347 nucleotides) under Macaca fascicularis (crab-eating macaque). RNAcentral describes it as "lncRNA (ENSMFAG00000055860.1)". Lineage: Eukaryota; Metazoa; Chordata; Mammalia; Primates; Cercopithecidae. The record is from RNAcentral.
GGAGCUCAGGGAAUCCUCUUGUUUCACUGAUACAGAAAUUGCCAUCGUGGAGGCUGGGCAUGGUGACUCACACCUGUAAUCCCAGCACUUUGGGAGACCAAGGCAGGCAGAUCACCUGAGGUCAGGAGUUCAAGAACAGCCUGACCAACAUGAUGAAACUUCAUCUCUACUAAAAAUACAAAAAAUUAGCUGGGUGUGGUGGUGGGUGCCUGUAAUCCCAGCUACUCGGGAGGCUGAGGCAGGAGAAACACUUGAACCUGAGAGGUGGAGGUUGCAGUGAGCUAAGAUUGCACCACUGCACUCCAGCCUGGGUGACAGCAAGAAUGCAUUUCAAAAAAAAGAAAAGAAAAAAGAAAUUGCCAUGGUGGAAAAUCAACAUUCCACUUCAGUGUGAGGUCUCCAUCCUUUGUCACUCAGUACUUGCCCACCCUUGACUCCUAUACCAGCCAUCACACCCAUCCUGUUCCUUUAUAUUCCCAUACCCCCGCCCCCAAGAAACCCUGGCAGUUGCAAGUUUCUCUUCUAUUAUUUCAUUCUCUGAAACUUGAAGGCACCAGAGUUUCCAGAUUAGUGUUCCCUGGGUGGCAUCUUACCCCUUUCACAGGUCCUCUACGAUGGAAAGUAGACCAAGAAGGCAUACACGGGUCAGAAAUGGUUCUUUGGGCCAGGCACAGUGGCUCACACUUGUAAUCCCAGCAUGUUGGGAGACCAUAGCAGGAGGAUUGCUUGAGGCCAGGAAUUAGAGACCAGUCUUGGCAACAUAAUGCGACCCCCAUCUCUACUAAAAGGGAAAAAUAGCUGGAUGUGGUGGCAUGUACCUAUAGUCCCAGCUACUAGGGAGGCUGAGGCAGGAAGAUCCCUCGAGCCCAGGAGGUUGAGGCUGCAGUAUGAUCGCACCACUGCACUCCAAGCCUGGGCAACAGAGACCCCAUCUCUAAAAAAAUAUAGAAUGCAGUAUCUAUAUUAUGUAUAGCUUCCCUAAAAAUUUAUUAUUUUAAAAUUUCAUCUUUUCUGCUCUGUGCUUCCACGUGGUAAUCAUCUGAAUCCUAGAAUGUGGGGAUUUUUUUGUUUUUGUUUUGUUUUUUGAGAUGGAGUCUCACUCUGUUGCCCUCAGCUCACUGCAACCACCGCCUCCCAGAUUCAAGCGAUUCUCCUGCCUCAGCCUCCCGAGUAGCUGGGAUUACGCCAGGGGGACAGAGUAAGACCCCUGUCUCAAAAAAAGAACAAAGACAGAGAGACUUUUCAGUGUUAUGAAAUCUAACAGUGCACCAUCGUUCUGCUUAUUGGGAUUAAGAGUUAAAGUCUAUUUGUCUACUUGGCUGAUCAAGCUUAUUGAAUUAUUCCAGU